GGUUGUGGCUCAGUGGUAGAGCGCUUGCCUAGCAUGCACAAGGCACUGGGUUUGAUCCUCAGCACCA
This 67-nucleotide transfer RNA is filed under the name Marmota monax (woodchuck). RNAcentral's name for it is "tRNA.Ala". Lineage: Eukaryota; Metazoa; Chordata; Mammalia; Rodentia; Sciuridae. The record is from RNAcentral.